UGUUGAUACAACAUUAAUGGUGGAAUCAAGUCAGGGGCGGAAGCCAGCAGCUUUAACAUUUAAUUAAUGUGUGUAUCUUUUUUU
Molecule: signal recognition particle RNA, 84 nt
Filed under: Clostridium sp.
Lineage: Bacteria; Bacillati; Bacillota; Clostridia; Eubacteriales; Clostridiaceae
Also listed under: 3 other names
Description: signal recognition particle sRNA small type
Rfam family: Bacterial small signal recognition particle RNA
About the family: The signal recognition particle (SRP) is a universally conserved ribonucleoprotein involved in the co-translational targeting of proteins to membranes. Archaeal SRP consists of a 7S RNA and homologues of the eukaryotic SRP19 and SRP54 proteins. In most bacteria, the SRP consists of a 4.5S RNA and the Ffh protein (a homologue of the eukaryotic SRP54 protein).
Source: RNAcentral